This is a long non-coding RNA of Cloeon dipterum, 349 nucleotides long. RefSeq lists it as uncharacterized. Lineage: Eukaryota; Metazoa; Arthropoda; Insecta; Ephemeroptera; Baetidae. The transcript has 3 exons. The record is from RefSeq and is a predicted model, not a curated record.
CAUCGUUGUUUUCACCCUUCUUUGGGUCAUCACAGGGUUACAAUUUGAGAAGAUGAAGGAAGUAGCUGAAUGCAGAAGUGAUAUGAAUGAGCGGUUGAAAUUUCACCCGACUGUGAAGGUGCAAAGCACCGCAAUUGGAAAGAUCAGCAAUGAUGAGUGGAUGAAAUCGAGUCAACUGGAUACCGAAUUCAACAUCAAUAGCUUCAGGUCCAGUCGACUCUCAUCGGAGAUGCUUCACAUUACAAGCAAUAGGACUCUAUCCUGGAAUGGUGAUGCAAUCUACUUGGAGACUGUUGACAACACUGCAUGGCUCUCUGUGGGAAAACAGAGAGUGCCUUUAACAGCAAAC